GGGGAAUUUUUUUUUUUUUUGUGUAUCAAAAAAAGGCUGUUCAAAGAUUAAGCCAUGCAUGUCUAAGUWUAAGCAAUUAUACCGUGAAACUGCGAACGGCUCAUUAAAUCAGUUAUCGUUUAUUUGAUAGUACCUUACUACUUGGAUAACCGUGGUAAUUCUAGAGCUAAUACAUGCUAAAAACCCCAACUUCGGGAGGGGUGUAUUUAUUAGAUAAAAAACCAAUGCCCUUCGGGGCUCUCUGGUGAUUCAUAAUAACUUCUCAGAUCGCAUGGCCUUGCGCCGGCGACGGUUCAUUCAAAUUUCUGCCCUAUCAACUUUCGAUGGUAAGGUAUUGGCUUACCAUGGUUUCAACGGGUAACGGGGAAUUAGGGUUCGAUUCCGGAGAGGGAGCCUGAGAAACGGCUACCACAUCCAAGGAAGGCAGCAGGCGCGCAAAUUACCCAAUCCCAAUACGGGGAGGUAGUGACAAUAAAUACUGAUACAGGGCUCUUUAGGGUCUUGUAAUUGGAAUGAGUACAAUUUAAACCUCUUAACGAGGAACAAUUGGAGGGCAAGUCUGGUGCCAGCAGCCGCGGUAAUUCCAGCUCCAAUAGCGUAUAUUAAAGUUGUUGCAGUUAAAAAGCUCGUAGUUGAACCUUUGGCCUGGCUGGCGGGUCCGCCUCACCGCGUGCACUCGUCCGGCCGGGCCUUUUCUUCUGGAGAACCGCAUGCCCUUCACUGGGUGUGUUGGGGACCAGGACUUUUACUUUGAAUAAAUCAGAGUGUUCAAAGCAGGCAUUUGCUCGAAUACGUUAGCAUGGAAUAAUAGAAUAGGACGUGCGGUCUUAUUUUGUUGGUUUCUAAGACCGCCGUAAUGAUUAAUAGGGACAGUCGGGGGCAUCAGUAUUCAAUUGUCAGAGGUGAAAUUCUUGGAUUUAUUGAAGACUAACUACUGCGAAAGCAUUUGCCAAGGAUGUUUUCAUUAAUCAGUGAACGAAAGUUAGGGGAUCGAAGACGAUCAGAUACCGUCGUAGUCUUAACCAUAAACUAUGCCGACUAGGGAUCGGGCGGUGUUAUUAUUUUGACUCGCUCGGCACCUUACGAGAAAUCAAAGUGUUUGGGGUUCUGGGGGRGAGYAYGGUCCCCAAGGCUGAAACUUAAAGAGUUUUUGUGCCGGAGAAUGUUUUUGAGAAGU
RNAcentral lists this ribosomal RNA (1177 nucleotides) under Periconia elaeidis. RNAcentral describes it as "SSU rRNA". It matches the Rfam family "Eukaryotic small subunit ribosomal RNA". The record is from RNAcentral. Lineage: Eukaryota; Fungi; Ascomycota; Dothideomycetes; Pleosporales; Periconiaceae.